CAGCAGCCGCGGUAAUACGUAGGUGGCGAGCGUUGUCCGGAUUUAUUGGGCGUAAAGCGAGCGCAGGCGGUUAGAUAAGUCUGAAGUUAAAGGCUGUGGCUUAACCAUAGUACGCUUUGGAAACUGUUUAACUUGAGUGCAAGAGGGGAGAGUGGGAUUCCAUGUGUAGCGGUGAAAUGCGUAGAUAUAUGGAGGAACACCGGUGGCGAAAGCGGCUCUCUGGCUUGUAACUGACGCUGAGGCUCGAAAGCGUGGGGAGCAAACAGGAUUAGAUACCCGUGUAGUCCCUGUCUCUUAUACA
Molecule: ribosomal RNA, 301 nt
Filed under: uncultured bacterium
Lineage: Bacteria
Description: partial 16S ribosomal RNA
Rfam family: Bacterial small subunit ribosomal RNA
Source: RNAcentral